CCCCGCCCCCCAACCGCAGGCUCCCGCGCGCCACCCCGAGGGGACGGGCGCCACCUCCUGCUACGCGGCACCCGGUCCCGUCAACCGCCCAACGGCUGAGGAGUGCGGCAGCGCGCCAGAGACUGGCGGGCAGCUCCGCCCGCGGCCGGGAUGCACUAGGCAAAGCCAGCUGGGCUCCUGAGUCCGGUGGGUACUUGGAGAACUUACUACGUCUAGCUGGAGGAUUGUAAAUGCACCAAUCAGCAUGCUGUGUCUAGCUCAAGAUUUUCUCCAUCCCCUUAUUUUGGGCCAGUGGCUGUCAUUACAUAUGAGAUGAGUCUCUUGAAGACUACAGAUGAACUCAAGCUCCAUGAGGAGAUGUUUCAUUGUCGGUGAGCACAUUCUUGUCAAUUAGUUCCUUCUUGUUUCUUACUAUAGCCCCUGUGUCUAGAACCUUUCCAGGUAUUCAGUAGCCAUUUAAAAAUUAUUUGUUGAAUGAAUUGUUAUUUUAAAGAACAUCCACAAUUUUGCCUGACUGGGCAUGGGAAUACAUGCCCAUCUUUGGACUGAAUGUCCAUUUUUCCCUUCUUUGAUUUAUCAAAAUAUUGGUUAAAUGAUCAGGACUACCGUCAGAAGGAAUUUUAUAUCUAAAAAUAGUUUACCUUCUAUGGAUGUAAAAAAUAGUUGUAGUAGUUCUGGCUUUUAUAUUAUUCGAUGUUUCAAAGCGGUUUUUUUUUUCCAUCACCAUAUUCUACGUUCUUGAAAAGUACUCGUUCAUGUGACUGCUAUCAUUUAUGCUUGUGCAGCACGUAGAUACAGGAGAGAAGAUAAGGAAAAUGCUUACCCUGUGUCUCCUUCCCUGUAACACAGUUUUUUUUACCAUAUUGAUUCUCCACUUUCUACUCCCUAAGUAAAAUUUUGCAACAGGCAUUUGGGAAACUCUGGAUACAAGAAAAAAAUUUUAAUAUUGUACAAAGAGACAAGAGGUGACUUCUUUUUUAUUUUUCAUUUAGAGUUUAUAGUUUAAUUAAAGAAAAUGCACAUAUAUCUAAAGAUAAUCAUGGAUAAUACACUCAUGUAAUUACUACUUUCAGUGGUUGUAACAACAGCCAAAGCACAAACAGAAAUGAGAAAGAAUUAUCAGCAUUAUGCAAGUACAUAUCCUCUUUAAGAAUUCCUGUUAUAGUGAAAGCAUUAAAAUAAUUGAACACGUACAGAGACCAUAUACUUUGUGAUCUUUUUAAAAAAGUAUUCAAAAUAUAUUUCUGUGUGCAAAACAUUUUCAUAAUGGUCUUGUUUAAAUGAAAGUAUUUAGAAUAGCACAUUGUAAAAUUAUGCUGCAGAGCACAAGUAUUUUUCUCUUUAGAAGACACAUAAUAAAAUAGAAUCAUCAGUGUUUUUUCAUAAACAUGAAUCUUUAGAGUGUUACUUGAUCCUGCAUAAUAAGGGUACUUUUUUGCUUAAUGUAAGCAUAGUAUACUAAUUCUUUUAAACUUCAGAAAGCAUAUUUACAGUCUAGGCAGAUGGGACAUGAAGGUCACACAGCAUGAGCAGUGAAAUAUCUCAUUUACCUAGAGUUCUAGAGAGAAUUUUAGGAACUCUUAUUUAUUAUCAGUGCAUAAACAAGAGUAAACUCUACAAAACUGUUUGCAAAACUCUCCUCUUUCUACUCAGAAGGCUUUCCCUAGAAUAAUCAUUAUGGAGUCUGUCCAUCCUUUACUCAUUCACUGCAUGGGGACAGGUGUUAGUUAUGAGAUUGGUGAAUUUAGAAAGCUAACCAAUUUCAUACCUAUUUUGGGAUUCUCAAUUCACAAACUUUUGUGCGUUUCUUAAUUAUUUCCUUUCUUUUUC
This 1830-nucleotide long non-coding RNA is filed under the name Homo sapiens (human). Its description in RNAcentral is "HSALNT0327202". The record is from RNAcentral. Lineage: Eukaryota; Metazoa; Chordata; Mammalia; Primates; Hominidae.